GAGAGAGAAGAAGGAGAAAAUGGAAGAGGGAGAGGAUGCAGAGGUGGAGGAAAACAAAGAAAAGCAGAGCAGAAGCCCAUCGCCUGGGGAAACUGCAAGUUCUAAGGGGUCUCAUAAGCUGUGGAAGAUGGUAGCAUAGUGGUAGAUCUGUCCAAUCUUGGUGCACAGCAUGUAACCAUAUUAACUGAGUUGUGUUUUCAUUGCUGGGGCAUAUUUGGGAGGAGAUUUACAUCAACACCAUGGUGUUACCACAAUGCUGAUUCCAAGAUGCCUUCCAGGCUCGAACCUGGACAUGUGAGCCGCUGGCUGGCCUCAACAAUUUGGCAAACCAAUGCAGGACCUGAGAAAGGCAGAGGACAUUUGGAAGAAACACUGCUGAUUUGUAGCUCCAUGCAAGAAGAAAAGAAUUAAAAUUCGUACCACAGAAGCUACCUUAUUAGGGAAUUGAAAAACAUAGGUUCUCUCCAUGGAACACUGCAGAAGCAUGAUGGCUAAUUCGUUUGACAAGCUGGCAGGGCCAAGAUACCUGGCUUAUGACUAGGUCAUUUACAAUAAAGUACCUGCUGUACAGCUGCCAAGCUUGCUAUAUAAGUGUGCAAAAAUUUGGAAUUCAGACCACAAGAAUGCUGUCUGAGUCUUCAGGCACCUGGUCAUCUGGGUCCAGGUUGAUGCUGCAGCAUGUCUUCUAACCCGCCUACCACCAGAGGGCAGCAGCGUACAUUCACAACAAUUGUUGAGAAGUGGAAGCCGAUGAAUCUUAUGUGCAGAAGAGGACAUAGCAAAAGAAGAAGCAUUCCAUACCACCUGCGUUCAUGCCUGCCAUGCCCUGGAUUUGGGCCCCCAUCUGAACCAUCUCCUGCACAUAACCAUGCUAUCAUAAUGAGGAAUCUUGAGAUCUGUGACAAUCUCUCUCUUCUCCCCAGCCCACAGCUCCAUCACACCCUACUCUAAUCACUAAGGAUCACUCAAGAUACUUCACUGUCUUCUGUUUUUCCAAAGUCCCUAAGUCACUUUAAGACUUUCUAUGUCCUCUGUAAACAGUCACAUACUCAUGUCUGGGGCUAGGUAUACAUGUGGAGAUAAGAGUGCAAGAGACAAGAAUGAAGGAGAGAAAAGUG
This 1118-nucleotide long non-coding RNA is filed under the name Mus musculus (house mouse). RNAcentral's name for it is "predicted gene 2165". Lineage: Eukaryota; Metazoa; Chordata; Mammalia; Rodentia; Muridae. The record is from RNAcentral.